Molecule: long non-coding RNA, 1563 nt
Organism: Triticum aestivum (bread wheat)
Lineage: Eukaryota; Viridiplantae; Streptophyta; Magnoliopsida; Poales; Poaceae
Exons: 3
Source: RefSeq, a predicted model, not a curated record
UUGCUUAUUUUGGUCAAUGAGAAGAGGUGAAUGAUAUUGUACAUAAUCUUCAACCCAAAGGUAUAAUAAUGCAAUGCAUAAAAAGAUCUACUUCCUAUAUAUGCUGCAGUUUCGAUUAUGUCAAAAAACGUGCAGGUACUCACCAUCUGUGUUGGCCUAUCAUACAAAAUUAAGGGUCAGGUUCGAUGUACAUAGGGACUGCUACAACCAAUGGAUAUUAUAUAUAGGGACUGCUACAACCCACGGGCAUUACAUUAUAGAUGGAGUUUUAAUAUCUUCUUUUUUCAUAUUUCAUAUGAAUGUCGGGCGUAUCCAACUCCAUUCUCUACAAAUUAAAAUCUUUGUUGCACCUUUUAUUGAGAAAUCAGAUUCUGUAGUUGCUUAGAAAAAGCAUAGGCAUCACUUAUUCAUUUUUAGAUUCUAUGCUUGGUGAACGUAUACCAACUCCUUUUUUUAUCGUAUAUGCUUCUCGAUGCUAAAAAUUACAAGUUAUGUUUCUUUUUUGGAAACAGAUUUUGAAAAAAAUGUGAGUAACAAGAGUGUGUUACUGUCUGGAUGUAUUAAGAAAUUGUGGGCACUAAUCAAAAGUUUGUUACUGAAAUCAUGACGCCAUUUGCUUAAUCAUUGUGGAAAAAUGGUUCUUCUGCAAUUAAAAAUAAUUGUCAGCAGCGACUAUGCAGGUAUGGACUUUGCAUGAGAAGCACAUAUGAGUAUGCCGACAUGGACCAUAUCAGGUCAUUGCCCCUAUUCUUUCCACAUCUUCUAUGCCAUGUUCCAAUUCAUUUGUUUUCCAUAUUGCUCAUGUUUGUAGCCGUUCUGUUAGGCACUUAUCCAUUGAUAACUUAUCAUGCUUCUAUUAAUUGAUGAUCUCUUCGCAUCGCAGUAGCACACUGAGCUCUAUGUUAUUUUGUCCUGUUUUCUUCAAGGUCCUUUGCAGGUUCCUUGUGCAAAGCUUGCUGAUUGUCAAUGUGAUUAGAGAUUUAGAGGGCCCCGGGCCAGUGGUUGAAUGAUGCAUUUCCUAUAGUGGGACUCCCUUGGUUGCAUCUGCGCUUUCGACUGGCCAGUGCGGUGCAGCAGCAGCAGUGACCACCGCUGCCAAGGAGCUCCAGCAAGCACGUGCGUCUACUCUCCUUGCCCCUGAGCUCCUGCAGCGGCAACAACAGCUCAUGUGUAGUAUCAGCCAGAGAACUACAACACAAAUCAUGUUCCUGCUAUUUUCUCACUCACGGAUGAUGUAUUGUUUUAGUUCAGUUAUUCCUUUUGUGAGAUGCUUCGCCAAGGGAAAGAGAUAGAAACUUGAAAGAAAAAAACUCAGUUUCACGACCGAUAGGUGGAUACUUCUCAAUCAAAUGAAUAAACAUGCGCUCUACCAGGCUUCAAGACCGAUAGGUGGUCACUAUUUGUAAUGGUAUUUCAAUCUUUUCUAUUGCGCACUCUUAUGUUUGUUUUCAUGUACUCCCUUACCGUUUCUGCUUUUCUUGUUGUGGUAUAUACAGUUACACCAGCUAUUGAUGGCAGCAUAUUGCCUUCACAUCGAGUGAAGAUAGUUGGGUGGGUUCCUGA